GACGAACCGAGCGAACGUUGUUCGGAAUCACUGGGCUUAAAGGGCGCGUAGGCGGGCAAGCAAGUCCGGGGUGAAAUCUUUCGGCUCAACCGGAAAAGUGCCUUGGAUACUGCUUGUCUGGAGGGAGGUAGGGGCCCGUGGAACUUCCGGUGGAGCGGUGAAAUGCGUUGAUAUCGGAAGGAACGCCGGUGGCGAAAGCGACGGGCUGGAUCUCUACUGACGCUGAGGCGCGAAAGCUAGGGUAGCGAACGGG
RNAcentral lists this ribosomal RNA (253 nucleotides) under uncultured prokaryote. Its description in RNAcentral is "partial 16S ribosomal RNA". It matches the Rfam family "Bacterial small subunit ribosomal RNA", at positions 524 to 776 of the family's 1533-position model. The record is from RNAcentral.